Molecule: ribosomal RNA, 319 nt
Filed under: uncultured eukaryote
Lineage: Eukaryota
Description: bacterial SSU rRNA
Rfam family: Eukaryotic small subunit ribosomal RNA
Source: RNAcentral
AUCCCAUGAUUAAAGCUCGUAGUUGAUUUCUGGAGAGGUUGAUUGCCGCUUAUGGUGGCUUUUCAAUCUUCUUCAUCCUUCUGUUAACUUUUCAGGCGCUAUGCGCAGGAAUUGAGCUCAGAUAUUUUACCUUGAGAAAAUUAAAGUGUUUCAGGCAGGCUAGGCCAGAAUACAAAAGCAUGGAAUAAUGGAAUUGGCAUCUCUCUGUGGUUGCAGAGGUGGUGUAAUGGUUAAUAGGAACAGUUGGGGGCAUUAGUAUUUAAUUGUCAGAGGUGAAAUUCUUGGAUUUGUUAAAGACUAACUAAAGCGAAAGCAUUUU